AACGAUCGCUGGCGGCAGGCCUAACACAUGCAAGUCGAACGCUCUAGCAAUAGAGAGUGGCAGACGGGUGAGUAACGCGUGGGAAACUUCCUAGGGGUACGGAAUAGCUCAGGGAAACUUGGGGUAAUACCGUAUGAUGCCGUAAGGCCAAAGAUUUAUCGCCCUUGGAUGUGCCCGCGUCGGAUUAGCUAGUUGGUGAGGUAAUGGCUCACCAUGGCGACGAUCCGUAGCUGGUUUGAGAGAAUGACCAGCCACACUGGGACUGAGACACGGCCCAGACUCCUACGGGAGGCAGCAGUGGGGAAUCUUGGACAAUGGGCGCAAGCCUGAUCCAGCCAUGCCGCGUGAGUGACGAAGGCCUUAGGGUUGUAAAGCUCUUUUGCCGGGGACGAUAAUGACGGUACCCGGAGAAUAAGUCCCGGCUAACUUCGUGCCAGCCGCCGCAGUAA
This 449-nucleotide ribosomal RNA is filed under the name uncultured bacterium. RNAcentral's name for it is "partial 16S ribosomal RNA". It matches the Rfam family "Bacterial small subunit ribosomal RNA", at positions 29 to 523 of the family's 1533-position model. The record is from RNAcentral.